UACGUAGGGAGCGAGCGUUGUCCGGAUUCAUUGGGCGUAAAGAGCUCGUAGGCGGCUUGGUAAGUCGGAUGUGAAACCUCCAGGCUCAACCUGGAGUCGCCAUCCGAUACUGCCAUGGCUAGAGUCCGGUAGGGGCCCACGGAAUUCCUGGUGUAGCGGUGAAAUGCGCAGAUAUCGGGAAGAACACCCGUGGCGAAGGCGGCACUCUGGGACGGUACUGACGCUGAGACGCGAAAGCGUGGGGAGCGAACAGG
Molecule: ribosomal RNA, 254 nt
Filed under: uncultured bacterium
Lineage: Bacteria
Description: partial 16S ribosomal RNA
Rfam family: Bacterial small subunit ribosomal RNA
Source: RNAcentral